UUUAAGUGCAACCAUAAAUUUAUGAGUUCAACUUUAAUCAUCCGUCUUAUUUAAAUUUUAGAUGAUAAAAUAUGAAUACUAUUUUACUCAUUACUUAUGUUUUUAAUUUUUUAAAAAUAUUUUUUAAAUUAGAUGGACGAUCAAAUUUGGACGCGGAAAACUAUGGCUGCACUUGUA
Non-coding RNA from Oryza meridionalis, 177 nucleotides. Lineage: Eukaryota; Viridiplantae; Streptophyta; Magnoliopsida; Poales; Poaceae. The record is from Rfam.